AUUGAACGCUAGCGGGAUGCUUUACACAUGCAAGUCGAACGAGUGGCGGACGGGUGAGUAAUAUAUCGGAACGUGCCCAGUAGCGGGGGAUAACUACUCGAAAGAGUGGCUAAUACCGCAUACAUUUGGACGGGCCAAUAUCGGAUUAGCUAUUUGGUGGGGUAAGGGCUCACCAAGGAAACGAUCCGUAGCUGGUUUGAGAGGAGGACCAGCCACAGUGGGACUGAGACACGGCCCAGACUCCUACGGGAGGCAGCAGUGGGGAAUUUUGGACAAUGGGGGAAACCCUGAUCCAGCCAUCCCGCGUGUAUGAGAAGGCCUUCGGGUUGUAAAGUACUUUUGGCAGAGAAGCGGUAUCUGCAGAAUAAGCACCGGCUAACUACGUGCCAGCAGCCGCGGUAAUAC
Molecule: ribosomal RNA, 405 nt
Filed under: uncultured bacterium
Lineage: Bacteria
Description: partial 16S ribosomal RNA
Rfam family: Bacterial small subunit ribosomal RNA
Source: RNAcentral